RNAcentral lists this ribosomal RNA (833 nucleotides) under Pezizomycetes sp. genotype 41. Its description in RNAcentral is "eukaryotic LSU rRNA". The stretch from base 237 to 833 matches the Rfam family "Eukaryotic large subunit ribosomal RNA", at positions 1 to 601 of the family's 3401-position model. Lineage: Eukaryota; Fungi; Ascomycota; Pezizomycetes. The record is from RNAcentral.
AGUGAAUCAUCGAAUCUUUGAACGCACAUUGCGCCCUCUGGUAUUCCGGGGGGCAUGCCUGUUCGAGCGUCAUCAAAACUACUCAAGCUAAGGUUUACCUUCUGCUUGGUCUUGGAAUUGGAGGCUUAUGUCUCCUUUCUGAAAUACAGUGGCGAAUUGACUGUGCUGUAAACGUAGUAACUUUACCCGUUGAAAGCAUGUUCACAUUCCGCCAAAACCCCCUCUAUUAUCUAGUUUGACCUCGGAUCAGGUAGGGAUACCCGCUGAACUUAAGCAUAUCAAUAAGCGGAGGAAAAGAAACCAACAGGGAUUGCCUUAGUAACUGCGAGUGAAGCGGCAAAAGCUCAAAUUUGAAAUCUGGGGCCUCACAGCCUCCGAAUUGUAAUUUCACGAUACGUUUUCGACUGAAGGCUCUGCUUUAAGUUCCUUGGAACAGGACGUCACAGAGGGUGAGAAUCCCGUGAUAGGUGGAGCCUGAUGCAUAUGAUACGUAUUCAACGAGUCGAGUUGUUUGGGAAUGCAGCUCAAAAUGGGAGGUAAAUUUCUUCUAAAGCUAAAUAUUGGCGAGAGACCGAUAGCGCACAAGUAGAGUGAUCGAAAGAUGAAAAGCACUUUGAAAAGAGAGUUAAAAAGUACGUGAAAUUGUUGAAAGGGAAGCGCUUGAGACCAGACUCAAUCUGUAGUGAUCAAUUUGGCUUCUGUCAGAUGCACUUGCUACUUAUUGGGACAGCAUCGGUUUUGGCGGUGGGAUAAAGUCUUGAGGAAUGUAGCUAUCUUCGGGUAGUGUUAUAGCCUCUUGAGUAAUGCCACCAGCUGGGACCGAGGACCGCGCC